RNAcentral lists this ribosomal RNA (543 nucleotides) under Epinephelus tauvina (greasy grouper). RNAcentral describes it as "partial 16S ribosomal RNA". It matches the Rfam family "Bacterial large subunit ribosomal RNA", at positions 1852 to 2593 of the family's 2925-position model. Lineage: Eukaryota; Metazoa; Chordata; Actinopteri; Perciformes; Serranidae. The record is from RNAcentral.
GUCCCGCCUGCCCUGUGACUAUAUGUUUAACGGCCGCGGUAUUUUGACCGUGCGAAGGUAGCGCAAUCACUUGUCUUUUAAAUGGGGACCUGUAUGAAUGGCAUAACGAGGGCUUGACUGUCUCCUCUUUCAAGUCAAUGAAAUUGAUCUCCCCGUGCAGAAGCGGGGAUGAGCACAUAAGACGAGAAGACCCUAUGGAGCUUCAGACACUAAAGCAGGUCAACAUUAAUACCCCAAAAACGGGGCACGAAUAGACUGAACUCUGCCCUAAUGUCUUAGGUUGGGGCGACCGCGGAGUAAUAAAAAACCCCCGCAAGGACCGAAUGUAUAACAUUCACAACCAAGAGCGACAGCUCUAAUUAACAGAUAUUUCUGACCAAUAAGAUCCGGCAACGCCGAUCUAUGGACCAAGUUACCCUAGGGAUAACAGCGCAAUCUCCUCUUAGAGCCCGUAUCAACGAGGAGGUUUACGACCUCGAUGUUGGAUCAGGACAUCCUAAUGGUGCAGCCGCUAUUAAGGGUUCGUUUGUUCAACGAUUAAAG